AAGUCGUAACAAGGUUUCCGUAGGUGAACCUGCGGAAGGAUCAUUAGUGAAAGGAAAAGGAGUUCUCUCAACCCCUUUCCCGAAAUCCUGUAUUCACCCCAAGUUCCUAAAAAUUUUUACAAUGAAAAACUUGCAAAAAGACCAUCCACGAACGGAUGGCGUCUAAUGCAAAAACGAAAACUUUCAACAACGGAUCUCUUGGCUCUC
RNAcentral lists this unclassified non-coding RNA (207 nucleotides) under fungal sp. RNAcentral's name for it is "partial internal transcribed spacer region". The stretch from base 1 to 46 matches the Rfam family "Eukaryotic small subunit ribosomal RNA", at positions 1786 to 1831 of the family's 1831-position model. Lineage: Eukaryota; Fungi. The record is from RNAcentral.